GAGUUUGAUCAUGGCUCAGAUUGAACGCUGGCGGCAUGCCUUACACAUGCAAGUCGAACGGCAGCACGGGAGCAAUCCUGGUGGCGAGUGGCGAACGGGUGAGUAAUAUAUCGGAACGUGCCCAGUCGUGGGGGAUAACGUAGCGAAAGCUACGCUAAUACCGCAUACGAUCUACGGAUGAAAGCGGGGGACUCGCAAGAGCCUCGCGCGAUUGGAGCGGCCGAUAUCAGAUUAGGUUGUUGGUGAGGUAAAAGCUCACCAAGCCUGCGAUCUGUAGCUGGUCUGAGAGGACGACCAGCCACACUGGAACUGAGACACGGUCCAGACUCCUACGGGAGGCAGCAGUGGGGAAUUUUGGACAAUGGACGCAAGUCUGAUCCAGCAAUGCCGCGUGCAGGACUAAGGCCUUCGGGUUGUAAACUGCUUUUGUACGGAACGAAACGGUCUUCUUUAAUACAGAGGGCUAAUGACGGUACCGUAAGAAUAAGCACCGGCUAAC
This 499-nucleotide ribosomal RNA is filed under the name uncultured bacterium. Its description in RNAcentral is "bacterial SSU rRNA". It matches the Rfam family "Bacterial small subunit ribosomal RNA", at positions 9 to 501 of the family's 1533-position model. The record is from RNAcentral.